This 253-nucleotide ribosomal RNA is filed under the name uncultured bacterium. RNAcentral's name for it is "partial 16S ribosomal RNA". It matches the Rfam family "Bacterial small subunit ribosomal RNA", at positions 524 to 776 of the family's 1533-position model. The record is from RNAcentral.
UACGUAGGUGGCGAGCGUUGUCCGGAUUUACUGGGCGUAAAGGGAGCGUAGGCGGACUUUUAAGUGAGAUGUGAAAUACUCGGGCUCAACUUGAGUGCUGCAUUUCAAACUGGAAGUCUAGAGUGCAGGAGAGGAGAAUGGAAUUCCUAGUGUAGCGGUGAAAUGCGUAGAGAUUAGGAAGAACACCAGUGGCGAAGGCGAUUCUCUGGGCUGUAACUAACGCUGAGGCUCGAAAGCGUGGGGAGCAAACAGG